CCUACGGGAGGCAGCAGUGGGGAAUAUUGGGCAAUGGAGGAAACUCUGACCCAGCGACGCCGCGUGCGGGAUGAAGGCCUUCGGGUUGUAAACCGCUUUCAGUAGGGAAGAAGCGAAAGUGACGGUACCUACAAAAGAAGCACCGGCUAACUAUGUGCCAGCAGCCGCGGUAAUACAUAGGGUGCAAGCGUUGUCCGGAAUUAUUGGGCGUAAAGAGCUCGUAGGUCGUUUGUUACGUCGGAUGUGAAAACCUGAGGCUCAACCUCAGGCCUGCAUUCGAUACGGGCAAACUAGAGUUUGGUAGGGGAGACUGGAAUUCCUGGUGUAGCGGUGGAAUGCGCAGAUAUCAGGAGGAACACCAAUGGCGAAGGCAGGUCUCUGGGCCAAUACUGACACUGAGGAGCGAAAGUCUGGGGAGCGAACAGGAUUAGAUACCCUGGUAGUCCAGACCGUAAACGGUGGGCACUAGUUGUGGGAACCUUCCACGGUUUCUGCGACGCAGCUACGCAUAGUGCCCGCCGUGGGAGGUACGAGUCGCGAGAGUAAACUACAAUAGAGUUGUACGGCGUUGAGACGUUGCCGAACGGCGACGACGAGGGGAGGUUAGG
This 608-nucleotide ribosomal RNA is filed under the name uncultured bacterium. RNAcentral describes it as "bacterial SSU rRNA". The stretch from base 1 to 520 matches the Rfam family "Bacterial small subunit ribosomal RNA", at positions 338 to 873 of the family's 1533-position model. The record is from RNAcentral.